Molecule: long non-coding RNA, 628 nt
Filed under: Capsicum annuum
Lineage: Eukaryota; Viridiplantae; Streptophyta; Magnoliopsida; Solanales; Solanaceae
Description: long non-coding RNA (CANN_LNC016242)
Source: RNAcentral
GGAGGUGGGACAUAUAGGUUUCCAAUACCAGACGCAGGUCCAGUAGGUGGGGGAUAUAGGCUUCCAACCCCAGAAGCAGGUCCAGAAGGAGGAUUCGGGCUUCCAACCCGAGACACUGGUCCAGGAGGUGGGAUGUUCGGGCUUCCAACCAUAGACGCAGGUCCAGGAGGUGGGGGAUAUAGGCUUCCAACCCCAGAAGCAGGUCCAGGAGGAGCAUUCAGGCUUCCAACCCCAGACACUGGUCCAGGAGAUGGGACGUUCGGGCUUCCAACCGUAGACGUAGGUCCAGGAGGUGGGGGAUAUAGACUUCCAACCCCAGAAGCAGGUUCAGGAGGAGGGGGAUAUAGGUUUCCAACCCCAGACACUGGUCCAAGAGGUGGGGGAUAUAGGCUUCCAACCCCAGAAGCAGGUCCACGAGGAGGGGGAUAUAGGUUUCCAACCCCAGACACUGGUCUAGGAGGUGGGACAUUUGGGCUUCCAACCCUAGACGCAGGUCCAGGAGGUGGGACAUUUGGGCUUCCAACCCUAGACGCAGGUCCAGGAGGUGGGACAUUUGGGCUUCCAACCCUAGACGCAGGUCCAGGAGGUGGGACAUUUGGGCUUCCAACCCUAGACGCAGGUCCAGGAG